This 214-nucleotide long non-coding RNA is filed under the name Mytilus galloprovincialis (Mediterranean mussel). The record is from RNAcentral. Lineage: Eukaryota; Metazoa; Mollusca; Bivalvia; Mytilida; Mytilidae.
UCACACACACACACACACAUAAAAAGGAGACUGCGCUGACCUAGAAACUAUAUUUGUGUGAUAUGCAGUAUGCAGUAGCAGUAUUAGUAAUUAUUUCAUGUAUUCUGAGCCUUCAUAUUUCCUGUUAAAUUCUUUUGGUUCGUUGUUGGUGUCUGUCUGGUCUGGUGGUUGGUUUGGUUGGUUAGAAAGGUUCUCACCGGUUUGCGAACACGUU